Molecule: non-coding RNA, 346 nt
Organism: Miniopterus natalensis
Lineage: Eukaryota; Metazoa; Chordata; Mammalia; Chiroptera; Miniopteridae
Source: RefSeq, a predicted model, not a curated record
CGGAACUACAGCCUGGAGACAGACCACCACGGCCACCCCAGUAGCAACUCUUCCUGGGGACCCUGGGCUGCUGAAACGCUGGCUGUGAGGUGCAACAGCUCUGAUGUCACUCGGCCAGAUGUCAGCUUGGUGCUCGUUGGCUGGUGAGCUGUCAGAUGACAAAGACUCUGUCCCCUCAUGUAGACACCAGGAUGCUCCUGAGUGCAACUGUGAAGAUGCCAGGCUGCAAGGCCCUUGAGAGCUCUGAGAGGAAAACAGGGAUAAGCACCCACUUUCCGGGGCAGCGGUGCGGUCCGGGCGGGGCCUGUCCCAGCCGCGCGCUUCAGCGCUCAUCCAGCGGGAGCGG